Molecule: ribosomal RNA, 325 nt
Filed under: uncultured bacterium
Lineage: Bacteria
Description: bacterial SSU rRNA
Rfam family: Bacterial small subunit ribosomal RNA
Source: RNAcentral
AACGAACGUUGGCGGCGUGGAUGAGGCAUGCAAGUCGAACGCGAAAGCUUCCUUCGGGAAGUGAGUAGAGUGGCGAACGGGUGAGUAACACGUAAUCAAGCUACCUCCGAGACUGGGAUAACUGUGGGAAACCGCAGCUAAUACCGGAUGGUUCUUCUGGAUCGCAUGGUCCGGUUGAUAAAUGGUUGGGAUCCUUCGGGACCUUCUGCUCGGAGAGGUGAUUGCGGCCUAUCAGCUAGUUGGUGGUGUAAUAGACUACCAAGGCAACGACGGGUAGCGGGCCUGAGAGGGUGGCCCGUCACACUGGGACUGAGACACUGCCCAG